GUGCUUGUAGCUCAGUUGGUAGAGCACUUGACUUUUAAUCAAGUUGUCGAGGGUUCAAUUCCCUCCAAGCACA
RNAcentral lists this transfer RNA (73 nucleotides) under Caudoviricetes sp. RNAcentral's name for it is "tRNA-Lys". It matches the Rfam family "tRNA". From Rfam's summary of the family: Transfer RNA (tRNA) molecules are approximately 80 nucleotides in length. Their secondary structure includes four short double-helical elements and three loops (D, anti-codon, and T loops). Lineage: Duplodnaviria; Heunggongvirae; Uroviricota; Caudoviricetes. The record is from RNAcentral.